AAAAGUAGUCAGCCAUGAGUACGAGUGCAUCCACUUCGAUUAGGUGUAAUGAUUUCGAAAAUACUGAUCAACUGAUCAAGUACUAUGAUGACUGGGCAAAAGAAUAUGAUAAGACAUCUAUCUGAACGCUGAUAUUGUACAUGGUUGACCGUCGAGUUAGAGGUCGAAAUUCGUAAACAACAAUUUUACAAAGAAAACGAUACACAAACUGUACGUGGCUACAUCUGCCCUAAAGUUGGUGCAAAGAAGCUUGUAGAGUUCCUGGAGCAGCUCAAGUUUGGGACAGACUGUAGAAUACUUGAUGUUGGGUCUGGCACUGGAUUGGUAGGUG
This 331-nucleotide unclassified non-coding RNA is filed under the name Actinia tenebrosa (Australian red waratah sea anemone). RNAcentral's name for it is "methyltransferase-like protein 27, transcript variant X2". The record is from RNAcentral. Lineage: Eukaryota; Metazoa; Cnidaria; Anthozoa; Actiniaria; Actiniidae.